Molecule: long non-coding RNA, 1188 nt
Organism: Hemiscyllium ocellatum (epaulette shark)
Lineage: Eukaryota; Metazoa; Chordata; Chondrichthyes; Orectolobiformes; Hemiscylliidae
Exons: 2
Source: RefSeq, a predicted model, not a curated record
CCGAAAAGAAAGGGUUAUCGGGUUUGACGAUAAGAAAUAAUUUCACUUGAGUCAAGUUUGGUGCCAUAAAUCACGAAUUGGACCGGAGUUUAUCCUGUGUGCAAAUAGACAGAGCUACAAAUAAAUCUUCCAGCUUACCUGAGAAUUCAGCAAAAUCCAAACCAUCCUCAGAGGACAGAUAAAGCCUGCUGCGAAAUUGGUAAUGUGCUUUACAAGGGGAGGCGGGAGGGGGAGUUUCAACGCACACUGAAGAGUCUACAUGUUCCAGGCUAUCCGGCUGUUUUGACUUUAUUGCUCUCUGCUUACUCUGGACGGCUUCUCUUUCUGCAAAAUCUUUUCAAAUCAGACCAUCAGGAGAAGGAAAUUGCACUCCUUCCAACUGAUUCAGCGUCCUGCAAAUGCAAACUAUUUGCCUUACACGUUUCUGCAGAUGUCGGGGGGUACUGGUUUUUCGGUGAGAUGUAUGCAUUAAAGUGAGAGAGAGAGAAAAGGAGCCCGGCAAACAAGCUGGGCCAAGUCGAGGGGGAAGAAAACCCUUAUGGAAUCCGUUCACGUGACUUAAAAAUAAUUGUUAGCAGAAUCUGGAUCAAAUCUGGUUAUUACGCACAUACAAUAAAGUUUCUGUGGUUCAUUGUUAGGCUAGUAUGCUUGCAAACUGGCAGUACAUUUAUGCGGAGUUGAUUUAGGAAACAGCUGCUCCAGUCUUGAGGAGAGCUAAGUCCCAUUACGUUGCGAAGGAGGUGGAUCCAAUUACAGACGUGUUUUAUUGGAAUGCCAGCCCGGAAGCUGAAGAUAUUGUAUCAGCCGCUGUGUUAUUGUAAUUAUCUUGUUUUGAUUGAUCAUAGCCAAUAGUAAGAAUAAUAUAAUGUACUUGACUGGAGUGAUGAGACAUUUAAUUAAGCGCUAUGUACUUUUACUAAUGAUCUUUUAUUGUAAAUAUUAGGAAUGGUACUUAAUUAUGAGUGCAAACAAUGCACAUUCCUGGAUCUAGUUUGGUCAGGUAUCAACAUCAAAUGCACCCAUUAAAUAGCAGCAAGAUCUUUAGGAUGAUCAAAUGUAUCCUUUCAUCCGAAUGGGUGCAGAGCUUAUAUCAGCAAUAGAAUGGAAAUGAAGGAAAUCAAGAUUUUGACAAUAAGGAGAAUCAUUAAUUUGUACUAAAACACAAAAAUAAAGACAAGUGUUUCUCUA